UACGUAGGGGGCAAGCGUUGUCCGGAUUUAUUGGGCGUAAAGAGCUCGUAGGCGGUCUGUCGCGUCUGCUGUGAAAACUCGGGGCUUAACCCCGGGCCUGCAGUGGGUACGGGCAGACUAGAGUGCGGUAGGGGAGACUGGAAUUCCUGGUGUAGCGGUGAAAUGCGCAGAUAUCAGGAGGAACACCAACGGCGAAGGCAGCACUCUGGGCCGGAACUGACGCUGAGGAGCGAAAGCGUGGGUAGCGAACAGG
This 253-nucleotide ribosomal RNA is filed under the name uncultured bacterium. RNAcentral describes it as "partial 16S ribosomal RNA". It matches the Rfam family "Bacterial small subunit ribosomal RNA", at positions 524 to 776 of the family's 1533-position model. The record is from RNAcentral.